This 392-nucleotide ribosomal RNA is filed under the name Tonsilla truculenta. RNAcentral's name for it is "partial 16S ribosomal RNA". Lineage: Eukaryota; Metazoa; Arthropoda; Arachnida; Araneae; Agelenidae. The record is from RNAcentral.
CUCAAUGAAAUUAAAUGGCCGCAAUACUUAUUGUGCUAAGGUAGCAUAAUCAUUUGUUUUUUAAUUAAAAACUAGAAUGAAAGAUUUAACAUUUCAAUUUCCCUCUCAUAUAUAUAUCAUUAAACUUAUUUUAAAUAUAAAAAAAUAUUUAUAAUAAAAAAAGACGACAAGACCCUAUUGAACUUAACUUAAGUUAAACUGGGGUAGUUAAUUAAAUAUAACUUUAAUUUAAACUCACAAAAAACCUAAUACAAUUAAAACAAUCAAGUUACCUUAGGGAUAACAGCGUAAUAAUUUUUUAAAGAUCUUAUUAAAAAAAUUGCUUGCGACCUCGAUGUUGAAUUAUUAUUCUAUUAAAUGCAAAAAUUUAAUUAUGAGAGUCUGUUCGACUU